Molecule: ribosomal RNA, 427 nt
Filed under: uncultured Flavobacterium sp.
Lineage: Bacteria; Pseudomonadati; Bacteroidota; Flavobacteriia; Flavobacteriales; Flavobacteriaceae
Description: bacterial SSU rRNA
Rfam family: Bacterial small subunit ribosomal RNA
Source: RNAcentral
GAGUUUGAUCAUGGCUCAGGAUGAACGCUAGCGGCAGGCCUAAUACAUGCAAGUCGAGGGGCAGCGCGGGUAGCAAUACCUGGCGGCGACCGGCGCACGGGUGCGUAACACGUAUACAAUCUGCCUUUAACAGGGGGAUAGCCCGGAGAAAAUCCGGAUUAAUACCCCAUAAUAUAUUGAGUGGCAUCACUUGAUAUUGAAAGCUCCGGCGGUUAGAGAUGAGUAUGCGCCUGAUUAGUUAGUUGGUGAGGUAACGGCUCACCAAGACUUCGAUCAGUAGGGGAUCUGAGAGGACUACCCCCCACACGGAUACUGAGACACGGAUCCGACUCCUACGGGAGGCAGGCAGUAAGGAAUAUUGGACAAUGCCCGCAAGGGUGAUCCAGCCAUGCCGCGUGCAGGAAGACGGCCCUAUGGGUUGUAAACU